CUACGGGAGGCACCAGUGGGGAAUAUUGCACAAUGGGGGAAACCCUGAUGCAGCGACGCCGCGUGAAGGAUGAAGGAUUUCGGUUCGUAAACUUCUAUCAGCAGGGAAGAUAGUGACUGUACCUGACUAAGAAGCCCCGGCUAACUACGUGCCAGCAGCCGCGGUAAUACGUAGGGGGCAAGCGUUAUCCGGAAUUACUGGGUGUAAAGGGUGCGUAGGCGGCUGAUUAAGCCAGAUGUGAAAGCCCGGGGCUCAACCUCGGGACUGCAUUUGGAACUGGUCGGCUAGAAUACAGGAGAGGUAAGUGGAAUUCCUAGUGUAGCGGUGAAAUGCGUAGAUAUUAGGAGGAACACCAGUGGCGAAGGCGACUUACUGGACUGUUAUUGACGCUGAGGCACGAAAGCGUGGGGAGCGAACAGGAUUAGAUACCCUAGUAGUC
This 439-nucleotide ribosomal RNA is filed under the name uncultured bacterium. Its description in RNAcentral is "partial 16S ribosomal RNA". It matches the Rfam family "Bacterial small subunit ribosomal RNA", at positions 339 to 795 of the family's 1533-position model. The record is from RNAcentral.